GAAUUUAAUAUAAAAAUUUAUAAUUAAUUUAAUUAAUUAAAAUUAGUAUAAGUAUUUAUAUUUAAUUGGGAGGAUUGUUAAAUUUGAAUAACUUUAAUUAAAAUAUAUAAUAUAAAUUAAUGAUUUUAAGAUGGAUUAUAAAAAAUUAAAUAAGAAUUAAUUACCUUAGGGAUAACAGCAUAAUAUUUUUGGAGAGAUCUUAUCGAUAAAAAUGUUUGU
This 219-nucleotide ribosomal RNA is filed under the name Megalomyrmex drifti. Its description in RNAcentral is "partial large subunit ribosomal RNA". The record is from RNAcentral. Lineage: Eukaryota; Metazoa; Arthropoda; Insecta; Hymenoptera; Formicidae. RNAcentral also lists the same sequence under 1 other name.